Molecule: ribosomal RNA, 253 nt
Filed under: uncultured bacterium
Lineage: Bacteria
Description: partial 16S ribosomal RNA
Rfam family: Bacterial small subunit ribosomal RNA
Source: RNAcentral
UACGAAGGGUGCAAGCGUUACUCGGAAUUACUGGGCGUAAAGCGUGCGCAGGCGGUUUUGUAAGACAGAUGUGAAAUCCCCGGGCUCAACCUGGGAACUGCGUUUGUGACUGCAAGACUCGAGUGCGGCAGAGGGGGGUGGAAUUCCACGUGUAGCAGUGAAAUGCGUAGAGAUGUGGAGGAACACCGAUGGCGAAGGCAGCCCCCUGGGCUAACACUGACGCUCAUGCACGAAAGCGUGGGGAGCAAACAGG